This 85-nucleotide non-coding RNA is filed under the name Geobacter sp. RNAcentral describes it as "c-di-GMP sequence". It matches the Rfam family "c-di-GMP-I riboswitch aptamer". Rfam says of the family: GEMM was predicted in a large-scale screen for bacterial structured RNA regulatory elements. Lineage: Bacteria; Pseudomonadati; Thermodesulfobacteriota; Desulfuromonadia; Geobacterales; Geobacteraceae. RNAcentral also lists the same sequence under 1 other name. The record is from RNAcentral.
UUUCCGAAAGGGUAAUCUGGAAGAAAUUCCAGUGACACAAAGCAUACGGAUCUGUUAUUAACUAACAGAUAGCCGGGCUGCCGAA